This is a long non-coding RNA of Dioscorea cayenensis subsp. rotundata (Guinea yam), 412 nucleotides long. RefSeq lists it as uncharacterized. Lineage: Eukaryota; Viridiplantae; Streptophyta; Magnoliopsida; Dioscoreales; Dioscoreaceae. The transcript is spliced from 3 exons. The record is from RefSeq and is a predicted model, not a curated record.
GAAAAUCAGGAAGAGAAGGGUUAUUAGCAAAUCAUUGUGGGGGGAUCAAGAGGAUUUGAAUAUACAAAGGCAACACUAGAAAAGGAAUACAUACAAUCGUGAAGUUACAUAUGCUGAGGUGUAUAAUCGAACCCAUCGAAGAGACAAGGGGAACGGUCCUUUUGUUGAUAAUAAAUCAAGAUUUAUUUAUGAAAAUUUUGAGGAGAUUGCCAAACAAAAGUACGGUGAGGACUACAUGAAUAAUGAAGAAAAUAGUUUUGAACUUGUGUGGUCAGAAGCAUGCGGUGGACCAAUCAAAGGACGACUAUAUGGUGUUGGGGAUGUCUCAUUGCUAAACUUUCAUAGAUUACCCUCUCAAUCUAUGAAUGAAGAGCAAGCCCAACAAGAACAUGAAUUACAAGAGAAGAUAGAA